GAACUGUGACAGCUUCAGCAGUACAUAUACUAAAAUUGAAUAUAGAGAAGAUUAGCAUGGGCCCUGCACAAGGAUAACAUGUAAAUUCGUGAAGUGUUCCAUAUUUUA
This is a small nuclear RNA of Pogoniulus pusillus (Red-fronted tinkerbird), 108 nucleotides long. The record is from RefSeq and is a predicted model, not a curated record. NCBI's taxonomy places the organism in Eukaryota, Metazoa, Chordata, Aves, Piciformes, Lybiidae.